AUUGAACGCUGGCGGCAGGCCUAACACAUGCAAGUCGAACGGUAACAGGGAUCAGCUUGCUGAUUCGCUGACGAGUGGCGGACGGGUGAGUCAUGUCUGGGAAACUGCCUGAUGGAGGGGGAUAACUACUGGAAACGGUAGCUAAUACCGCAUAACGUCGCAAGACCAAAGAGGGGGACCUUCGGGCCUCUUGCCAUCGGAUGUGCCCAGAUGGGAUUAGCUAGUAGGUGGGGUAACGGCUCACCUAGGCGACGAUCCCUAGCUGGUCUGAGAGGAUGACCAGCCACACUGGAACUGAGACACGGUCCAGACUCCUACGGGAGGCAGCAGUGGGGAAUAUUGCACAAUGGGCGCAAGCCUGAUGCAGCCAUGCCGCGUGUAUGAUGAAGGCCUUCGGGUUGUAAAGUACUUUCAGCGGGGAGGAAGGGAGUAAAGUUAAUACCUUCGCUCAUUGACGUUACCCGCAGAAGAAGCACCGGCUAACUCCGUG
RNAcentral lists this ribosomal RNA (490 nucleotides) under uncultured bacterium. Its description in RNAcentral is "partial 16S ribosomal RNA". It matches the Rfam family "Bacterial small subunit ribosomal RNA", at positions 30 to 507 of the family's 1533-position model. The record is from RNAcentral.